This 200-nucleotide unclassified non-coding RNA is filed under the name soil metagenome. Its description in RNAcentral is "partial contains internal transcribed spacer 2 and large subunit ribosomal RNA". The record is from RNAcentral.
UUGCCUUUAGUGACCGGUCAGCUGAAAUAUAUUCACGCAUUGGAGGCUGCUUUUCUACCAAAGGAAAGGCGAGUUCCGAUUUGGUAGGUGACCUUUGCCGGUUACAUGCCUUCGUUGCCCGCUUUGCCUCUAACAUGCGUUGUGCAGGACGCCUUUUGGCUUUCGACCUGAGGUCAGGCAAGAACACCCGCUGAACUUAA